Molecule: ribosomal RNA, 388 nt
Filed under: uncultured bacterium
Lineage: Bacteria
Description: bacterial SSU rRNA
Rfam family: Bacterial small subunit ribosomal RNA
Source: RNAcentral
GACAAACGCUGGCGGGGUGCAUGAGACAUGCAAGUCGAACGGGGUUGAGCGGGCUUGCUCGAUCAACCUAGUGGCGGACGGCUGAGUAACGCGUAGGUGACCUACCCGGAAGUGGGGAAUAACUGCCCGAAAGGGUGGCUAAUACCGCAUGUGGUCGGCGAUUCAGUUCGCCGCCCAAAGCCGCAAGGCGCUUCCGGCGGGGCCUGCGUCCGAUUAGCUAGUUGGUGGGGUAAUGGCUCACCAAGGCGACGAUCGGUAGCUGGUCUGAGAGGAUGAUCAGCCAGACUGGGACUGAGAACGGCCCAGACUCCUACGGGAGGCAGCAGUCGGGAAUUUUGCCCAAUGGACGAAAGUCUGAGGCAGCAACUCCGCGUGAGGGACGAAGGCC